Molecule: long non-coding RNA, 523 nt
Organism: Leptidea sinapis
Lineage: Eukaryota; Metazoa; Arthropoda; Insecta; Lepidoptera; Pieridae
Exons: 4
Source: RefSeq, a predicted model, not a curated record
UCACAGGUGGCUAUAUAAAGUCAAUCCGAUCAGAACACAUAUAAAUUCAUUACAACUUACAACUUCAGCAUCGGCAAGUUAAUCAUUGUAUCGACUGCAACAUGGCUGUCAAAAAUAUCUCUUUAUGUAUAUUUACUAUCUUGAUAUUAUUCAACGUUAUAUUUGCCCAAGAAGCUGAAGAGGACAAUGGAGAUAAAACUCGCAUGUCUCUUUCCAUUCCAUGGCUUCCCAAAAUAGCUGGUUGUGUCUUCAAUGCCGAGCCGGCUUCUACAUGUGUGGGAUGCGUAGCAGUCAGGUUUUGCCUUCCCAACAACAUCAGCAUAACUCAUAACUGCGGUAUUUUCAACCCAUAUUGUGAUGAGGGCCAGUGCUCGUCAUCUCCUAGUGCAUCAUGCAGUUCUUCCGGAUCCGAGUAAAUUAUAUCCAGGUUGUACGAAGAAGUAGCUAUGUCGACAUAUCUGAGAGUCUUUUUAUUGCAAAUUUAAAUUCUAUGUCGUGAAAAUAAAAUAUCGUAUAAUUAUUA